UCCACGCCCUAAACGAUGCCAACUAGGUGUUGGGGAAGGAGACUUCCUUAGUACCGUAGCUAACGCGUGAAGUUGGCCGCCUGGGGAGUACGGUCGCAAGAUUAAAACUCAAAGGAAUUGACGGGGACCCGCACAAGCGGUGGAUGAUGUGGAUUAAUUCGAUGCAACGCGAAAAACCUUACCUACCCUUGACAUGUCAGGAACUUUCCAGAGAUGGAUU
Molecule: ribosomal RNA, 220 nt
Filed under: uncultured bacterium
Lineage: Bacteria
Description: partial 16S ribosomal RNA
Rfam family: Bacterial small subunit ribosomal RNA
Source: RNAcentral